UACGUAGGGGCCUAGCGUUGUCCGGAUUUAUUGGGCGUAAAGAGCUCGUAGGCGGUUCGGCAAGUCGGAUGUGAAAAUCUCCACGCUCAACGUGGAGGGGCCAUUCGAAACUGCCGUGACUCGAGUCCGGUAGGGGAGUGUGGAAUUCCGGUGUAGCGGUGAAAUGCGCAGAUAUCGGGAGGAACACCUAUGGCGAAGGCGGCUCACUGGCUCGUAACUGACGCUCAGGCGCGACAGCGUGGGGAUCAAACAGG
This 254-nucleotide ribosomal RNA is filed under the name uncultured bacterium. RNAcentral's name for it is "partial 16S ribosomal RNA". It matches the Rfam family "Bacterial small subunit ribosomal RNA", at positions 524 to 776 of the family's 1533-position model. The record is from RNAcentral.